Molecule: ribosomal RNA, 442 nt
Filed under: uncultured Sphingobacteriales bacterium
Lineage: Bacteria; Pseudomonadati; Bacteroidota; Sphingobacteriia; Sphingobacteriales
Description: bacterial SSU rRNA
Rfam family: Bacterial small subunit ribosomal RNA
Source: RNAcentral
AGCAUGUGGUUAAUCGAUGAUACGCGAGGACCUUACCUGGGCUCGAACGUAAGAUGACUGUAGGUGAAAGCUUACAUCUCUUCGGAGCAUUUUACGAGGUGCUGCAUGGUUGUCGUCAGCUCGUGCCGUGAGGUGUCGGGUUAAGUCCCAUAACGAGCGCAACCCUACCUUUAGUUGCCAUCAGGUAAUGCUGGGGACUCUAAAGGAACUGCCUACGCAAGUAGUGAGGAAGGCGGGGAUGACGUCAAAUCAGCACGGCCCUUACGUCCAGGGCUACACACGUGCUACAAUGGCCGAUACAGAGGGCAGCGACACUGCGAGGUGAAGCCAAUCCCGUAAAAUCGGUCUCAGUCCGGAUUGGAGUCUGCAACUCGACUCCAUGAAGUUGGAAUCGCUAGUAAUCGUGGAUCAGCAUGCCACGGUGAAUACGUUCCCGGGCCUU